RNAcentral lists this ribosomal RNA (445 nucleotides) under uncultured bacterium. RNAcentral's name for it is "bacterial SSU rRNA". It matches the Rfam family "Bacterial small subunit ribosomal RNA", at positions 46 to 482 of the family's 1533-position model. The record is from RNAcentral.
GCUUAACACAUGCAAGUCGAGCGGUAACAUUUCUAGCUUGCUAGAAGAUGACGAGCGGCGGACGGGUGAGUAACGCGUAGGAAUCUGCCUAGUAGUGGGGGACAACAUGUGGAAACGCAUGCUAAUACCGCAUACACCCUACGGGGGAAAGGAGGGGACCUUCGGACCUUUCGCUAUUAGAUGAGCCCGCGUGAGAUUAGCUAGUUGGUGGGGUAAAGGCCUACCAAGGCGACGAUCUCUACCUGGUCUGAGAGGAUGAUCAGCCACACUGGGACUGAGACACGGCCCAGACUCCUACGGGAGGCAGCAGUGGGGAAUAUUGGACAAUGGGCGCAAGCCUGAUCCAGCCAUGCCGCGUGUGUGAAGAAGGCCUUAGGGUUGUUAAGCACUUUCAGGAGUGAGGAAGGGCGUAUAGUUCAUACCUGUAUGUCUUGACGUUAACUCC